UGCCCACCGUACUGGAUCCAGUCCUGUCUACGACAACUGGAGAGCCCAUCAACUGCAACCGCACCCAUGAUCGUCACCCCAGCUCACAAGCGAACAAUUCUGGUCGUUUGCUUCACGACAGGUUGCACGAGUAGGUUGUUCUGCGGUAGACCUACACUCGAUGGGGUCGAGUUUUUUCCACCUACAAGAAGUUGAUGGGGACAUCAGAGCCGUUCGAUUAGAUGAUCGAGCCAUCAGAGCCCCUCGUUCAGAUGAUGGAGUCAAUUAGUUGCUUUUGUUAUUGGUCGAGUCAGUUUGGUUAGUUUUUAUUUUAGUAAGUCAAUUAGGUUAACUGUUGAGUCAAGUGAUUGCAUCAAUUGAUUAAUAUAAGACCUAGGUAUAAAGAUCCAAUUUUGGGUGUGACCAAUUAGUUUAAUGGUCUAAUGUUAGUAAGGUUUAAUUUGGUAUGUAAAGUCAAUUAAUUGAAGGGUACAAGUUUGGUUAGUUGUUAAUUGUUUGACUUGGUCAAUUCAUGAUGUAAAGCCUAUAUAAAGGCCACCCUGCUCAUGAAUUAGAGGAGUUGAAUGAUUGAAUAAACCCUAGCCUUCUUUCUU
RNAcentral lists this long non-coding RNA (593 nucleotides) under Phoenix dactylifera (date palm). RNAcentral's name for it is "long non-coding RNA (PDAC_LNC017181)". Lineage: Eukaryota; Viridiplantae; Streptophyta; Magnoliopsida; Arecales; Arecaceae. The record is from RNAcentral.